RNAcentral lists this ribosomal RNA (269 nucleotides) under uncultured prokaryote. RNAcentral describes it as "partial 16S ribosomal RNA". It matches the Rfam family "Bacterial small subunit ribosomal RNA", at positions 524 to 792 of the family's 1533-position model. The record is from RNAcentral.
UACGUAGGGUGCGAGCGUUAAUCGGAAUUACUGGGCGUAAAGCGUGCGCAGGCGGUUUGCUAAGACAGGUGUAAAAUCCCCGGGCUUAACCUGGGAACUGCGCUUGUGACUGGCAGGCUAGAGUACGGUAGAGGGGGGUGGAAUUCCUGGUGUAGCAAUGAAAUGCGUAGAUAUCAGGAGGAACACCGAUGGCGAAGGCAGCCCCCUGGGCCUGUACUGACGCUCAUGCACGAAAGCGUGGGGAGCAAACAGGAUUAGAUACCCUGGUA